RNAcentral lists this ribosomal RNA (496 nucleotides) under uncultured bacterium. RNAcentral describes it as "partial 16S ribosomal RNA". It matches the Rfam family "Bacterial small subunit ribosomal RNA", at positions 28 to 523 of the family's 1533-position model. The record is from RNAcentral.
GAUGAACGCUAGCGGGAGGCCUAAUACAUGCAAGUCGAACGGUAACAGGUAGCAAUACGCUGACGAGUGGCGCACGGGUGCGUAACGCGUACACAAUCUGCCUUAUACUGGGGCAUAGCCUUUGGAAACGGAGAAUAAUUCCCCAUAAUAUAUAGAGAAGGCAUCUUUUUUAUAUUAAAGCUCAGGCGGUAUAAGAUGAGUGUGCGUCCGAUUAGGUAGUUGGUAGGGUAACGGCCUAUCAAGCCAACGAUCGGUAGCUGGUCUGAGAGGAUGAUCAGCCACACGGGCACUGAGACACGGGCCCGACUCCUACGGGAGGCAGCAGUAGGGAAUAUUGGACAAUGGGCGCAAGCUUGAUCCAGCCAUCCCGCGUGAAGGAUUAAGGUCCUAUGGAUUGUAAACUUCUUUUCUCUGGGAAUAAAAAUCACGAUUCUUCGUGACCUGAAGGUACCAGAGGAAUAAGCACCGGCUAACUCCGUGCCAGCAGCCGCAGUAA